CUUAGUUGCCAUCAUUAAGUUGGGCACUCUAGGUUGACUGCCGGUGACAAACCGGAGGAAGGUGGGGAUGACGUCAAAUCAUCAUGCCCCUUAUGAUUUGGGCUACACACGUGCUACAAUGGACAAUACAAAGGGCAGCUAAACCGCGAGGUCAUGCAAAUCCCAUAAAGUUGUUCUCAGUUCGGAUUGUAGUCUGCAACUCGACUACAUGAAGCUGGAAUCGCUAGUAAUCGUAGAUCAGCAUGCUACGGUGAAUACGUUCCCGGGUCUUGUACACACCGCCCGUCACACCACGAGAGUUUGUAACACCCGAAGCCGGUGGAGUAACCAUUUAUGGAGCUAGCCGUCGAAGGUGGGACAAAUGAUUGGGGUGAAGUCGUAACAAGGUAGCCGUAUCGGAAGGUGCGGCUGGAUCACCUCCUUUCUAAGGA
This 431-nucleotide ribosomal RNA is filed under the name Staphylococcus xylosus. RNAcentral's name for it is "bacterial SSU rRNA". It matches the Rfam family "Bacterial small subunit ribosomal RNA", at positions 1110 to 1533 of the family's 1533-position model. The record is from RNAcentral. Lineage: Bacteria; Bacillati; Bacillota; Bacilli; Caryophanales; Staphylococcaceae.